CAUACUUUAUGGAUGACGCCUAAUGUAAAUGUUAAAUGUAUUUUUUUUGAAUAGAUAGUAGGUUUUGCCCUAGUGCUUUUGUCCUACCAAAAAAAAUGUACUGCAGAAAAAAAAAUAUAACUGCAAAAAAAAGAAAAGAACUAUCGAGCCUAACCUCAAUACCUUAAGGUAGGUGAAAAAUUCCAGUAUAGUAAACUGUGAAAUUGCGUUAUUCGAUCUUUUCAAAAAAACUAAACCGCUCUACGUUGUGGUAAGCCAGGUCGUAUGUUUAAAUGAAUGUUAAUAAUCGACCUUAUGAGAAAACAAAUGCUUAAAACAAAAAAAAAAUGCUGGUUUGGAUUUCUCCAAAGAUAUGGUCAGCAUGUCACAAAAAGUUAAAUUAAAAAUCACCAAAUUUUUUUUACCGUGUAUCAUUUUGUUUAAGUGUAGUCCUUAUCCAAACCUACAACUUUGCCCAUGACACCAAAUUGAUUACAUCUUAAUUACGAGCAUGGUUAAUGAAAUACUCGUAACACAAAAAAAAAACAAAUACUUAUAAGCUGACAAAGACUUUUCUGCCAAACGACAUAUUCCUCCUUUUAAUUUUCUGCCGAGUGGCAUUCUGCCAAACAUCAUUCUGCCGAAUAGUUUUCUGCCAAUCGACCAGAUACUAUUCUGCCAAUCGUUUUGCCGCCAUUUUAACAUUCUGCCAAAUGACACUGUCUGCCACUUGACCUUUUCUGCCGAAAAUUAUUCUGCCGUUUGUACUUUUCUGCCAGAUAUUUUUCUGCCAAAACAUUUUCUGCCGUUUAACCUUUUCUGCCAUUUAGCGUUCUGCCAAACGUCAUUCUGCCGAACGAAUUUCUGCCAAUCGGCCCAGUCCCGGUCAAAUUUCAUGGACUAACGACAGUUACUGAAAUAGCAAUGGAACCAUCUGAAGAAUUUGUCUUUAAAAUAUAAUUAUCUUUCUUCCAGCUUCCGGGAAUCUUCUUUAAUUUGAAUGCCUACAUUUAUCUAUUCACUAGAUGAUUUAUUUAAAUGUUUAUAUCCUUCCUUAUCCUAUUCCUUUUCUUUCAGCAAUGGAACCAUCUGGAGCAUUUGUCAUUUUUAAUUAUAGUUGUUUGUUUUGCAGCUUCCCGAAAUCAUCUUUAAAUUUACUGCUUAUUUGUAUUUAUCUUUUCACUAUAAGAUUAAUUUUUAUAUUCAUAUCUACCAUUCCCCCAUACAAUAUAUGAUCAAACAAGCUCUUCCUGGCAAACAUCGUCCUGCUCUUUUUUGGUUUCCUGACGUUUCAUGCUUGUUUGCUUAUUCAGCCUCCUGUGAUCAAAAUUUGAUUUUACGUAACUUUUCCCAUACAAUCUGCAGCUUUUCCGGAAUCGGUUCAAGAGUGGCCAAAGUGUCAAUUAGUUAGCGUAAGAACCUUCCUUAGGCUUAUACGAACCCAACACAACAAAGAGCACCUCGAUCCGACGCUCCGUAUUGAACAUAUUCGCGUUCGAACAAAACCGUCGAAAUUUUUUAUAUAUAUAUAUAUAGAUUGAAUGACAAGAAAGAACAUGGGGUGUAAUCUACUAGGAUACUUUCUUCGGAUUAGCUGCGCUUGUGUCUAAUCAAACAAGUAAAAAGAGUAUGAAUUGUUAAUAUUCAAUUGAGGUUUUGCAGCGCGACUGCGUUUCAAAUGUAGGUGGCGCCAAAAUGAGGUUACUUGCCUAAAGUCGUAUGCCUUUCUGUCGAUUAAAGAACAAAAUCGCUUAUUUCUCAUGAUUCCCUGCAUCAAUCUUCAUGAAACUGGUUUUUUUGCUUUAAAAUAAUGAACAUCAACUUUUGGGCGCGCAAAAAUUUGUGACCUUUUUCUUUAAAAAACAUGUUUUGGAACACGAAAAAAUGAGUUUCUCCGUAUAUACCAAGGAAAUAACCAGUUAUAUAGUUGAUAACAGAUGUGUUAACGUAUAUUCAACAAUUUGUAUUGAUUUUUGACAGACUUUCUUGCCAAAUAGUCCAAAUUACUAUCUUUUUCUAAAUUUACAGUUUUCGCAUAGAAAAAUCAAAGAAAUAUUGGAAAGUUAUACACCAAAUUGUUGGAAAUAACACACCUAUGAACAAAUAGCGUAAACCUAUGAUUUUUAGAAAAAAUGUGUUUUUUCCUUCCGUAUCAACAUUUUUAUAAAAAUUAUGCCAGAUUCGAAUGAGAAAAAUUAUUUCUAACAAUUUGGUGUAUAACUUUCCAAUAUUUGUUUGAUUUUUCUAUGAGAAAACUGUAAAUUUAGAAAAAGAUAGUAAUUUGGACUAUUUGGCAAGAAAGUCUGUCAAAAAUCAAUACAAAUUGUUGAAUAUACGUUAACACAUCUGAUAUCAACUAUAUAACUGGUUAUUUCCUUGAUAUAUACAGGGAAACUAAUUUUUUCGUGUUCCAAAACAUGUUUUUUAAAGAAAAAGGUCACAAUUUUUUGAGUGCACAAAAGUUGAUGUUCAUUAUUUUAAAGCAAAAAUUUUUUCUCGUCUUUUGCAACCAGUUUCAUGAAGAUUGAUGCAGGGAAUCAUGAGAAAUAAGCGAUUUUGUUCUUCAAUCUAGCAGAAAGGAAUACGAUUUUUGGCAAGUAACCUCAUUUUGGCGCCACCUACAUUUGAAACACAGUCGCGCUGCAAAACCUCAAUACGUUGCCUGUUUAUAUGUAAGUACCAAUAAUACAUGAACAUUUUAAAUAAUUUAGUUUUUAAGAAUUAGUUAAAGAAUUAUUUUUAUUUGCAGGAAAUGGAAAAUCAUCGCAACAAGUUUGCUUAUCAAUAUAUUAUUUUGUUUCUUUAUUUUUUUCAUCAUUUCACCUCAGUGAACUAACAGCGCACGUAAGAUGUAUUAACGGUACACAUCAACCAUAGUUUUUGCACCCAGAUUUCUGUUACAGACAUUUUAGUAUCUUCAAAACUACGGGAAAUAUCGAUAUAUUUUUUUAUUCAUCCCCUAAAUUACUGUCUUCGUAGUUAUUUACAACAAGGUUUGACUAUUUUUACAAUCAGAUUUUUGCAGGAUUGGGUCCGUAAGUUUGACAAUUUUGGAAUAAGAAGACAACAACUUCCUAGGUUGCUGUGCACCCUUAAGAACAAAAUUAUUUUGAAAAUUAUGUUUUUUUUUUCUUCAUAUUUUUGCAUUAUUUCUAAAUUUCAGCACACAAGAAUCUACAAAGAUCUGCAUUUCUAUAUAAGGCACUUUGUGUUUUUUUCAGUUUUAGAUGAACUUGAAAAAACACUAUCAGAAUCCUGAAGGAACCUGAACGGGUAUUCUGCUUGGGCGGAUGAAAUAUGUGUGAAUGGCGCAUCAAGGGCGAGCCAAGGCGGUUGGGGCUUUUUGGGCGGAUGAAUUUUAUAUGGGGGGCGUAUCAAGGGCGACCCACUGGCGAACCAACCUUCAGGGGCGUCUGUACCGUAUAUGAAAGGCGCAUCAAGGGCGAGCCAAGGCGGUUGGGGCUUUUUGGGCGGAUGAACUUUAUAUAGGGGGCGGAUCGGGGGCGACCCGCUGGCAGACCAUCUUACAGGGGCGGACGAACCGUAUAUGAAAGGCGGGUCGAGGGCGAGCCACGGCGGUUGGGGCUUUUUAGGCGGAUGAACUUUCUAUGGGAGACGUAUCGAGGGCGACCCGCAGGCGGACCAUCCUAUAGGGGCAGUUGAACCAUACAAAACGGCGUAUGUGGGGCGAAUGAACGGCGGGUGAAACAUUCGCCCCACAUACCAUACGAAACGGCGGGCUGCCCAGUCAAUGUGGGGAUCUUCUUUCUGUUAGCUAGAUAAGGUAAUGAUUUUCGUUGCCUCUUGAGCUACGAUGCUACCCAAGUAGCACACUUUGUUCGCCAAAAGAUUUCCGAACUUGUUGUUGAACUCAUUUACUAUGUUUUCCCAACGUCCCUGAGAACUCUUGAACGCUGGAAAAAGCGCACGUUUUUCUGUUGUUGAACAUCUCUUAACCUGUUAGAAAUGUGCGUGGUUUAAUUAAGUUUUACCAGCGCACGUCCUACUUGCAUAGAGAACGUUUGUUGAACAUGUCAUAAGAACUCUUGACUAUAAGAUUCUGAACCGGGUUGGAUAACGUCGUUAGAACCGUUUAACAACAUUCUGCCUUUAAGAUUCAGGAGGGAGUUAGGCAAACGUUUUUAUAACCGUUCAAGAACAUAUCGUGGCAGACAAGAAUGUUAAACAGGCUUUUCAUAAAAUACGUCCAAGGUGUUCGCUCAAAAGUCGUUUUUUCUUUAUUAAACCCUUUAUUUAUGAGUAAUGUCGCUUUACGAUACUUUAACUACUAGUUUUUUGUAAUUUAUUAGUUUGGACAGGGAUACGCCAUUUAUGAAUAAUAAUAAUAUGAAUGAUGGAUAAUACAAUAAUAUCAACCAUAAAAAAUCAUUCAGUUUCCUAUUUAUGCCUUCGGGGAUUUUUUUUUCAAUUAUGUUUGAGUGCUAAUGAACAUCGCUUGCUACUACUACUCUACCACUGCCGCUGUUUCUAUUUUUAGAACUAUCCUUGCUUUUUUCGUCAACAUGACCUUGCUCGGAUUUUAGAACACGAACGCGAACUUCACAUAAACAACUUGUUUACGAGAAAUCCCAGCCGAAGAGAAAGGUCAAAUCUACUAUGUUAUCACGUUCAGCAAACUGAAAUGAAACAUCAUGUCUGCAAAUGUCAUUUUGAUUUACGAGUUCUACAAGUAUGUUUCAUUGAGGUCAGAAUAAACUUCAAAAUGAACUAUUCGUAAUCCGUUGCUAGAUUUGGCAUUUGUGUUACACAGCCAUGUUGAACAAUGGUUUUUUGAUCAAAAUGUGAACAAUUGACCAAAUGUGUUGCCACUUGUUCAAUAAUUAACGAAUAAAAACACUUAUGCAGCAAUUGUUCAACAAAAAAAUAAAGAGCGAUGUUUUUCUUGCUACUUGGGUAUGGAGAGGGUUUAACACACAAACAACCGACGUCGAGCCCUCCGAGCUACGGAGCUAUGGGAAGGUCUUUUCAACACAAAAAAGACGCGCACCACACGACGUUCUUGAUGUUUCAAAAUAAUUUUGUUACGCGAUAAACCUAACGAACUCAAUCGUCAACUUGCCAUCCAAUCAGCGAUGAUGAAGAAAGGGCUUGAAGCACACAAUAUCUCACCGAUUAAUAUGAAUAAUUUUCAAGAUCGAUCUUGUUUUAUAACUACAGCGCGACUCACAAUCCUGAUCUGUUUUUUUCUUUUUCUUUUCAUUUUUUUUGCUUUUUUCACUUUCUACACAAACACAAUUAUAAUUGAAUAAUUUCCCCCAACCAACGCGUCCCUUCACUCACCAAUCUUGCAAGCACAAUCCUGAUUUUUUUUUCUUCACUUUGCACACAAACACAACCUUCCGCUUGCACUGGUGGAACAUAAUCUGAACACAAACAGCGACACAAAAGAGACGAAAAUUAUCGCGAAAAAACAGGACUGCGCGUCCCCAGAAGCACUGCAUUUAUGAUGCCAUUAUUCAAUUAUGACCAAUCACCCCAUGCACACAAACAGCGACACAAAAGAGACGAAAAUUAUUGCGAAAAAACAGGACUGCUCGUCCCCAGAAACACGGCGUCCGGUUUCGAGCAUCUUCGAGCGUGAAAUGAAAAAUCACUGCAGCACUGGUUGCUGCGAUUUGGCGAACCCCGCCGUCGUUGUCAAACGUCAACGGCGAAAAAUGCAACGGCAACUUCGUUUGAGCAAAAAGCGCGCGCAAAGAAGGAGAGAGGAGAGAAGCAGCGAGAAAAAUCAUUCCGUUCGCAAACCUUGUACGGUUAACAUAGCUGUAAAUAAAAUCGGUCGAAAGAGUUUUUGCAAAGAAACCGCGUGUCAUUUAUUUUUCCUAAAGUGGAUUACAGUCCCGCUAGUAGUUUGAGGAAACAUUCUCGGUUGAGGACAAAGUGGCCUCAACAGCACCAAUGAUGCCAUUAUUCAAACUGCUACACAAAAGAGACGAAAAUUAUUGCGAAAAAACAGGACUGCGCGUCCCCAGAAGCACUGCACUUAUCGAAAAAAAUCGAAAUUUUAUACCGAAAAUAAAUUUGACCUCAAUUUUUUUAUGAAUAUGCAAUCGAAAAGUACUUUAGGGUAGGGUAGUCAUCAAUGAGACACUUUUGGUUUUCAACUUUCAACGAUUUUUCUAAUUUUUUCAUCAGCAUAUUUUAAUGAGCUUUUUGUUGCAUUUUCAUUCUUUUAGUUUGUUCUAACAUUGACCAAAAUAUGAGAUCGAUCCGACAUCUACAGUCACAGUUAUUCAACUGUCUCAUUGUAGACGCACUUGGCAGGAACAAUGAGACAGCUGGGGAACAAUGAGACACUCUACAAAAAUCAAUACUUUUUUAGUAAAACAUCAUGUUUUUGUAUUGUUCCAUUGUAGGUGACUUGCCUUGAACAUUUUAGAGCAAUUUUGCCAACAUGAAACUUUAAUUAACAAAAGUUAUACUAAAAAGUAUUGAAAUAUUGUAAAAUCCAUAUAUUUAUGCCAAAUAACUUUGUAUGUUUGGUUAAAUGAAGUUAAAACUCUAUAAAUAUGCCAAAAAUCACUUUCAGUUCAUGUUUUGAAAGAUUUCCAUACAUUUUGAAAAGUUUAAUGAAGAAAAAUCGAAGUGUCUCAUUGUUACCCAUGGGCUGAAAUGAGUGGGGAACAAUGAGACAGUCCAGGAUUCUGGGUUUAUUCUAAAUUUUGGCCAAACCUAAUGAAAGGACAUGGUAGCCCAACUCAAUCCCUGUGGAACGUCGAAAGAAAUUUGAAGAAAUAUUCGUUUUGGUGUAAAUGGCAGCCUACGAGCGAAAAAGUAAUUUUUGUCCAUAAUUUACUUCUACACUCCAGAAUCAAACAUUUAUGAAUAACUUUUCAAGGUAGCGUCCAUAACCAAAGCCACUAUUAUGGCAGACGUGUAUCCAGUAGACACACCUUUCCCCCAAAUAUGAGCCUGAUUGGUUGAAACUACGACUUGUGAGAGCCAUUUUAUCAUUGUUCUCCGUGUCUCAUUGAUGACUACUCUACCCUAUAGUUUUUUUGAUUAAGGGCUCGGUUUUCAAGAUAUAGAGUCCGUUUUGCGAUGCCUGUCCAUCUAGAGAUCCUAAAUAGGGAGACUGGACGAAGUGAAUUUGACGUACCCAAACAGACGCGAGUUUGACGUAUCCAAACGAGCAUUUGCCUUUACGCCCAGCAAAACUUAUCAGUGUUGCCAAGCUCAAAACAUACGUUGCCAGAUCGAUUUAGCAAGCUUAGACCAGUCUCCCUAUUUAGGGUCUCUAUGUCCAUCGGGUCGCAUGUUUUUUCGCGUCGUUCGUCGACGGUGAGUUUGUCGGGUGAGUGCGCGCGUGUGUGUGUGAAGGUGCGGCUGGUUUGGUUGAAAAAAUGACAGUUGAGCCAGUCCGUUUUGCGAUGCCUGUCCGUCGGGUCGCAUGUUUUUUCGCGUCGUUCGUCGUCGGUGAGUUUGUCGGGUGAGUGCGCGCGUGUGUGUGUGAAGGUGCGGCUGGUUUGGUUGAAAAAAUGACAGUUGAGCCAGUCCGUUUUGCGAUGCCUGUCCGUCGGGUCGCAUGUUUUUUCGCGUCGUUCGUCGUCGGUGAGUUUGUCGGGUGAGUGCGCGCGUGUGUGUGUAAAGGUGCGGCUGGCUCUGGUUCAAAAAUGACAGUUGAGCCAGUUCGUUUUGCGAUGCCUGUCCAUCGGGUCGCAUGUUUUUUCGCGUCGUUCGUCGUCGGUGAGUUUGUCGGGUGAGUGCGCGCGUAUGUGUGUGAAUGUGCGGCUGGCUCUGGUUCAAAAAAUGACAGUUGAGCCAGUCCGUUUUGCGAUGCCUGUCCAUCGGGUCGCAUGUUUUUUCGCGUCGUUCGUCGACGGUGAAUUUGUCGGGUGAGUGCGCGCGUGUGUGUGUGAAGGUGCGGCUGGUUUGGUUGAAAAAAUGACAGUUGAGCCAGUCCGUUUUGCGAUGCCUGUCCGUCGGGUCGCAUGUUUUUUUCGCGUCGUUCGUCGUCGGUGAUUUUGUCGGGUGAGUGCGCGCGUGUGUGUGUAAAGGUGCGGCUUGCUCUGGUUGUCACGAUGACAGUUGAGGCAGUCCGUUUUGUGGUUACCUGUAUGUUUGUCUAUUCCUUUCUAUUGACGUGGCUUUUUUUCUUCUUAGUUAGAUUGUAAAGUUCAAAUAUCGCGAUCGUCUUUCUCGUUAGUCAGUCGGGUUUCUUUGUUCUAUGAUUCGCGAUUGUUUCAUGGGAAGAUUCGUUCUUAAUUGCGUUAGCAUAAUAUAAAUUAUAUUUGACCUUUCGUUUCCCGCGAAAUCACCUUUUAGCAAUAUAGCUCGUAAAGCACGGUGACAAAUAUUGUUUCAACGCGAUUGUUCAAGUCCUUCAGAUAACUCAUAACUCAUCAGUAAUUAAUUGGUCGCUCAUCUUAUAAAAACUUAAAAGUAUAAAUAGUCUCAGGUCAACUCUACGUAAAUGUGUUACGCUGAGUAUAAUAUUUCACCUUUUAAUUACACACAAUUUUGAUUCUAUCUUUCCACAGCCGACUGUCUAAGAUUAAAUCAUUUGUGCUAAACUCAACACCAAAUAACCGGGAAUGGUCUCAUCCGCAUCAUCCGAUUGUUUGGCUUGAGAAUACAUAAUACAUCACCCUAUCACUCAACGAAAUUCAUUGAUUAUUGGGCCACAUCAUCAUCCUCUAUGAUGAAUCCUGGCCAUUACCCUUUUCCACUAACAAAAUCCCAAGUAGAAGUAGUUUUCCGGCACACGCGGGGGUGUGGAUAUCGUAUAGAACCCACCCUUGGUAGCAGCCUGUGCUAACUAACAUUCCCGUCCCGUUCCCUCGAGAUCUACAAACUGACAUGGCGGGCGCCGUUGGUGGCCAAUGACUGUUUCCUAUUAGCAACGGCUCUAGUUUUGAUGAUCGUGAUGUUUUAUCUUUUCAGCGCAUUCAUGCAUGCUGUUGAUAAGGGAAACAUUAUUUGAUCGUUGAAGCGUAUGACCGGUUGUGUUGAUAGGAUAUUACGGUUCUGCUCAGCAACGGAGAAGGACAACCAUGGGUGGUCUCUCAUGCUCAUGCUCAUGCUCUUAAGGGCUCGGUUUUCAAGAUAUAGCCACCGAAAGGUUGAUUUUGACGAAAUAUUUGCAGUUUUUUUAUUUUUAAAAAUAGUAACCAUCAGUGACCAUUUCUGAAAAUAUUUCUUCUGAAAAGUUCAGAAAAAUAGCUUCAAAAUUGUCUAAGAGACAUUGAAGAUUGGACCUCUGGUUGCUGAGAUACAGCGGCAAAACCAAAAAUAAACCGGAAAACUGAAGUUCUCUAAGUCACAUCCAAGCAACCCACCAUUUUCUAAUGUCGAUAUCUCAGUAACUAAUGGUUCGAUUUUCAAUGUUAAAACAUGAAACAUUUGUGAAAUUUUCCGAUUUUGUCGAAAAAAAUAUUUUGAAUUUUUUUGAAUCAAGACUAACAUUUCAAAAGGGCGUAAUUUUGAAUGUUUGGUCCUUUUGAAAUGUUAGUCUCGAUUCAAAAAAUUUCAAAAUAUUUUUUUUGAAAAGAUCGGAAAAUUUUAACAAAUGUUUCAUGUUUUAACAUUGAAAAUCGGACCUUUAGUUACUGAGAUAUCGACAUUAGAUAAUGGUGGGUUGUUUAGGUGAGACUUAGAAAACUUAAAUUUUCCGGUUUUUUUUUUCAUUAUACCGCUAUAUCUCAGCAACCAGAGGUCCAAUCUUCAAUGUCUCUUACACAAUUUCAUAGCAAUUUUUCUAAACUUUAAAUUUUUUUUCAGAAAUGGUCACUUAUGGUCACUAUUUUUAAAAAUCAAAAAACUGCAAAUAUUUCGUCAAAAUCAAACUUUCGGUGGCUAUAUCUUGAAAACGGCCCAUCUGCUCCAACCUUCCAUCGGAUGAGGAAGUAAAAUGUCGGUCCCGGCCUUGGUUGUUAGGCCGUUAAGUCAAUCUCCAUUCAAAACGGAACGUCGGAUCAAGGUGCUCUUUGUUGCGUUGGGUUCGUAUAAGUCCAAGGAAGGUUCUUGCGCUAAAGAGUGACAACUUUGGCCACUCCGGAACCGAUUACGGAAGAUCUGCAGAUUGUAUGGGAAAAGUUGCGUAAAAUCAAAUUUUGAUCACAGGAGGCUAAAAACGUUAAGAAGUGAAAAAAUGACAAGACGAAGUUUGUCGGGUGAGCUUGUUUUACAUAAAAAAUUGAGGUCAAGAUAUUUUUUGGCGUAAAAUUUCGAUUUUUUCCAAAAAUCACUACUUUUUAAAAAAAAUCAUAACUCGGCGACAGAUUUUUUACCAUGCUUCUCUAUAGCUCAAAAGUUGCGGGUUUUUGUCCCAUAAAACAUAUAAAAAAAAAUCUCGAAAAUCAAAAAAUACUCAAAAGUUACAGCUGUUUAAAUAUUUACGUACCAUUUUUGUAUGGACAGCUGCCAAAAUUGUAUGGAGACUUGUAUGGGUAAACCAAUGACACAAAAUAGCUUGUUUGGUCAUAGGGAAGGCCCCCACAAAGUUUGAGCCAAAUCAAAACAUACAAAAAAUAAAAAUGGUCGAAAUCGGCCGAUUUUGUAGAGAAUUGCUCUCUAGAGUUCUCGAGGACGUUCGGAAAACAUAGUAAAUGAGUUCAACAACCAGUUCGGAAAUCUCGUGGCGAACAAAGUUGCUACUUGGGGUGCACUGUAUAGGUACAAAUAUUUUUUUAACGAAUAAACAUUCACGAUUAUACUCCAGUUUCCAACAGUGUUAUGCAUUAAAUUUUCGCCUAAUUUGCUAAUGACAAAUUCCGCCGAGACGUUGCAACGCUUUGACUUUUCUUUUUUCAGUAUUUCGACUAUAACUCAAAAAAUACAUUGAAAAUGUACAUAUGUUAUUACAGAUUCGGAAAGAACAUAAAAUUUCAUAUAAGAAACAAUGUUGAAACAUUAUUUUAAGCGAAUAUUCUAUGUUUGAGAGAGCAAUAUGUAGCGUGACGUUGCAACGCGUGACUUUUUCUCAAUCCUGAUCCAAUUCAUGUUUCGCCAUUAAUUCUGCUCUGUUCAACGACAAAUUGGAGUUCUUCUUCCAUUUUUAGUGUAAAAUUGGCCAACAAAUCGAAUGCAAUCAUUA
Molecule: long non-coding RNA, 11035 nt
Organism: Culex pipiens pallens (northern house mosquito)
Lineage: Eukaryota; Metazoa; Arthropoda; Insecta; Diptera; Culicidae
Exons: 2
Source: RefSeq, a predicted model, not a curated record